RNAcentral lists this small RNA (29 nucleotides) under Bombyx mori (domestic silkworm). RNAcentral describes it as "ovarian small RNA-26553". Lineage: Eukaryota; Metazoa; Arthropoda; Insecta; Lepidoptera; Bombycidae. The record is from RNAcentral.
UCCAAGUCGCAACCACAAUGAUGGCACUC